This 733-nucleotide ribosomal RNA is filed under the name uncultured Flexibacteraceae bacterium. RNAcentral describes it as "bacterial SSU rRNA". It matches the Rfam family "Bacterial small subunit ribosomal RNA", at positions 97 to 828 of the family's 1533-position model. The record is from RNAcentral. Lineage: Bacteria; Pseudomonadati; Bacteroidota; Cytophagia; Cytophagales; Cytophagaceae.
GGCGCACGGGUGCGUAACGCGUAUGCAACCAACCCACUCCUGGGGGAUAGCCUUCCGAAAGGAAGAUUAAUACCGCAUAAUGCAGGGAACUGGCAUCAGUUUAUUUGCUAAAGAGUUAUCGGGAGUGGCUGGGCAUGCGUCUGAUUAGCUAGUUGGCGGGGUAACGGCCCACCAAGGCGACGAUCAGUAGGGGAUCUGAGAGGAUAAUCCCCCACACUGGCACUGAGAUACGGGCCAGACUCCUACGGGAGGCAGCAGUAGGGAAUAUUGGGCAAUGGGCGCAAGCCUGACCCAGCCAUGCCGCGUGCAGGAAGAAGGCGCUCAGCGUUGUAAACUGCUUUUGUCGGGGAAGAAACGACCCCUGCGGGGGGCAUUGACGGUACCCGAUGAAUAAGCACCGGCUAACUCCGUGCCAGCAGCCGCGGUAAUACGGAGGGUGCAAGCGUUGUCCGGAUUUAUUGGGUUUAAAGGGUGCGCAGGCGGGAAGGUUAGUCCGUGGUGAAAGACGAUCGCUCAACGAUUGCAGUGCCAUGGAUACUGCCUUUCUUGAAUCUGGUUGAGGCCGGUGGAAUUGACCGUGUAGCGGUGAAAUGCAUAGAUAUGGUCAAGAACUCCAAUUGCGAAGGCAGCCGGCUGGGCCAGUAUUGACGCUCAGGCACGAGAGUGCGGGGAUCAAACAGGAUUAGAUACCCUGGUAGUCCGCACCGUAAACGAUGAUGACUAGGUGUUGGCC